CAACUACCGUCGCAAUAAGCAUUACCAAAAGCGACUACUUUAAUUUCCGGUCCUUAAAUUAUAAUAAAGAUUAAUCCUUCUCUUUAAAACUUAAAUUGCGGUCGCUAUUCAAAUUUUAGAACGAGUCUCUAUUUUCUUACGUCACAAAAUUAGAAAAAUAAAAUUAAAAAAAUACAGUUUAGGUCUGGAGGCAAAGAAUUUCCCGCAAAGUGACGUUCUCUUUUCUCACUCUCUAACUUCCAUCGCUCGAUUUCUAUUGCUCGAUUUUAUUUUGCAUUGCUAUUAACUUCCCUCAUUCUCUUCUUCUCUUUAAUCUGUUGUUUUGCAGUUUUCAGCGAUGAAAUCACUAUGAGCUCUUUGUGAUCUCUUCAUUUCCGGCGAUGAAAGUACUGAUGGAGGUGGAGUCCGCUGCACAAACAGAGGGACAUUUGUUUCUUUCUUGAGGUCACUCUAGAAAUUUGGGAGAAACUUAAACAAUAAAUUGAAAUGGAGGAGGGCUGCUGGUGGGGCCUGCUACAUAACCAGGGGGACACUUUCCAUUAGAUACGAGAGAAGCAGGUUGACAGGGUCUCUGGACUUCUCAAGAACUUGAAGGUUUCAUUUCUUGAGCAGAUAACUUACAGUGUGACUAUGCCAAAAGGAUAACAAAUUGCAAUGUGUUUGCAGAUUUUUAUAUGUCAAAAUGAGCGGAAAAAUGCUUGAUAGAAACUUCUAUCAAUUCACUUCGUAUAAGCCUUAAGUAGCUAACAGAGACACUCUUGUUGAACUUCUGGGGUGAAUUGAUGUGAAGGAAUGACCUACUCGGAUGAUAAGCAAAUCUAUGUCAUUUAGAUCAGUGAACUUAAAUCAAAAUUUAAAUUGAUAUUGCAUCAUUGAAUUUUUGAAAAGUUGCAUUGUAAGGGUGCUAAAUUUGUGCACAUUAUCUCUUUCUAGUUUUAAGUGUCUGAAAUUUCAAAUUACAUCAGGAGAUUGAUGAACCUUUUUCACACUGCUGACAGAAAAUUGAUUAUAAAAGAUCUUUGUUUGGCGGUUGCAAA
Mercurialis annua (annual mercury) is the source of this 1037-nucleotide long non-coding RNA. RefSeq lists it as uncharacterized. NCBI's taxonomy places the organism in Eukaryota, Viridiplantae, Streptophyta, Magnoliopsida, Malpighiales, Euphorbiaceae. The transcript is spliced from 6 exons. The record is from RefSeq and is a predicted model, not a curated record.